Molecule: long non-coding RNA, 754 nt
Filed under: Rattus norvegicus (Norway rat)
Lineage: Eukaryota; Metazoa; Chordata; Mammalia; Rodentia; Muridae
Description: long non-coding RNA NONRATT013520
Source: RNAcentral
GUCUACUCCGUGCGCGACUUGACGUCUGCCCUCUCAGAGCAAGAAGUUUUGUCUUAUGUACUCUCCGUCAUAGGUAAUUUAUGAAUAAAACCUGGUCCUCUCGUGCUCAGAACUGUACAUCUGCCUACCCCUCAUAUGCUGUUGUGAAAUGAAUGGUGCUAUAGAGGAAAAGACCAGGAAACCCAGCCUUUCCUGUGGGACCCUCCCAGCAUUGAUGACUUCUGACACCCGAUUUUUUUCCCCAGCAAUAGGCCCACGGUCAAUUUUGCUCUGGACGCUAGCUAGGCAAUUCUUUAUUUCUAUUCGCUGUUGACACUGCUUAUGUGCAGGUAGCCCUGGAUCCAGCAGAUGGAUGGCACAGUCUCAAGACCCCGCUUCAGACGGCUCUCGAAUGUCCUAAGUUGCUUGCCGUGUGCUUCUGACUCACCAGGUAUACGGAGGUUUCCACAACUGCGUACUCGGGUCCAAUUCGCUGUUUUGAGAAAACCUGUUGGUCAGCUUAUUCCAAAGGAUAAUUUAAAGGCAGAGAGGGGAUAUGUGCUCCAAGAAGUGCAUGUGUUUGGCUACCUAGAAGCUCUACGAAACUGUCCUUCAUAGAUUUUUACAGGUCUUCCUUUGCAUAGGCUUGAUUCGGUAGACAGGAAGAAUGUGUUGGGACCCCACAAGCCUCAUCUCCAGCGAGGAGAUGAUGUACAAAGUGAAUAAUGAACCUUGAGUCAGCACCAUCUUUGCAGAUACUGGGUCAAAAAUGUCC